Molecule: transfer RNA, 73 nt
Filed under: Pyropia perforata
Lineage: Eukaryota; Rhodophyta; Bangiophyceae; Bangiales; Bangiaceae
Description: tRNA-Val
Rfam family: tRNA
About the family: Transfer RNA (tRNA) molecules are approximately 80 nucleotides in length. Their secondary structure includes four short double-helical elements and three loops (D, anti-codon, and T loops).
Source: RNAcentral
AAGCAAUUAGCUCAAUGGUUAGAGUAUUUUGUUUACACCAAGAUGGUUAGGGGUUCGAAUCCCUUAUUGCUUA